UACGUAGGGGGCUAGCGUUGUCCGGAUUUAUUGGGCGUAAAGAGCGUGUAGGCGGCCAUGUAGGUCCGGUGUGAAAACUCGAGGCUUAACCUCGAGAUGUCAUCGGAAACCAUUUGGCUAGAGUCCGGAAGAGGAGAGUGGAAUUCCUGGUGUAGCGGUGAAAUGCGCAGAUAUCAGGAGGAACACCAAUUGCGAAGGCAGCUCGCUGGGACGUAACUGACGCUGAGGCGCGAAAGCGUGGGGAGCAAACAGG
This 253-nucleotide ribosomal RNA is filed under the name uncultured bacterium. RNAcentral's name for it is "partial 16S ribosomal RNA". It matches the Rfam family "Bacterial small subunit ribosomal RNA", at positions 524 to 776 of the family's 1533-position model. The record is from RNAcentral.